This 282-nucleotide ribosomal RNA is filed under the name Triticum aestivum (bread wheat). RNAcentral describes it as "partial small subunit ribosomal RNA". Lineage: Eukaryota; Viridiplantae; Streptophyta; Magnoliopsida; Poales; Poaceae. The record is from RNAcentral.
AUGAACAACCACAUGACCAGCAUCCGCAUGGUUGCGCUUCUUCUCACCGUAUGCCUCCUCCUCGCCACCAAUGCACGAUGCCAGAUCAUCGACGGCGGAGGCGACGAGAAGAUUAGUUUGCCCAAUGGGCUGUGCGCCUACAAGAAAGACUCGUCAUUCUGCAAACUCGACAUACCAUUGUGCUACUGCUGCUUGGCAGGUGAUGAAUAUUGCUACGCGACGAUGAAGAUAUGCAAGAAGGAGUGCCCCUUGGCUCCGGCACCCGAAGCAGCCUCUCCUUGA